GAUUAACGCUGGCGGCGUGCAUAACACAUGCAAGUCGAACGAUGAAACUUAAAUGAUUUCUUCGGAAUGAACUUAAGUGGAUUAGUGGCGGACGGGUGAGUAACGCGUGAGUAACCUGCCUUACACAAGGGGAUAGCCGUUGGAAACGACGAAUAAUACCCUAUGAUGUUUCUAUCUCGCAUGAGAUAUUAACCAAAGUGUUAGCGGUGUAAGAUGGACUUGCGUCUGAUUAGCUAGUUGGUGAGAAAAAAGCCCACCAAGGCAACGAUCAGUAGCCGGCUUGAGAGAGUGUACGGCCACAUUGGGACUGAGACACGGCCCAGACUCCUACGGGAGGCAGCAGUGGGGAAUUUGGCACAAUGGGGGAAACCCUGAUGCAGCGACGCCGCGUGAUUUAGAAGGCCUUCGGGUUGUAAAAAUCUUUUGUAUAGGAAGAAAAUGACAGUACUAUACGAAUAAGGUCCGGCUAAUUACGUG
This 477-nucleotide ribosomal RNA is filed under the name uncultured bacterium. RNAcentral's name for it is "partial 16S ribosomal RNA". It matches the Rfam family "Bacterial small subunit ribosomal RNA", at positions 28 to 507 of the family's 1533-position model. The record is from RNAcentral.